CAAGAAAGAACUAAGGCCUAUCCGAAUUAACAUUAAGCUGCAGCAUCAAAUUAAAAAGUACAUAGUCAUUUGAGCUUUAAAGGCAGCACUUUUCUAAUUUCAUCUUUUCCCAUACCCUACCGAUACCCAAAAAGAUAAAACAACAAAAGACAAGUAUUUAAUAGGAAAAAGAGGAAGUCAUAUAUGGAAAUAUCUAAGAUAUUACACAGCCCCUUCACCAAUUUCUUCAUCCACUAACACUUCCUUUAGUCAUCAUCUUCCUCCUCCUGUGCAAACAAAAUUAAAAUCAAUACACCAAAACCAAAAAAAACAGCAAAGAAACAAAUGAUCAUUUCAUCACAAAAACAAACCUCGUCACUUCCUUCUUCCUCGUCAACCUCAGACUUUGACUUGUCAGAUUCCUCAUCUUCAGCUUCACCAGCCUAUACAGAAGAACAAAAGAGUUCUUUAGCACCAAAAGCACAUCAUAAAAUAGAGACAUAAAGUAACCAUACACAAGGAUUUCACCUGUCGCCUGUUAUAAGCAUCCAUGUUCUUUUCGUAUUCAGCCUUCCUUUUCUCUGCCUUUGCUAUGUAAGGGGCUUUCUCCUAAAUUCAUAUUACAGAACGAAAUAAUUGAUGAAACAUAAUUGGGGAUUGAUAUAGAUCAGGAAAGCAGAAUGCUAAAUAGGCUAGACGAUCAGGAGAAGCAAAACAAAAUCAGCAUUUGGCCGAAAACGAAGCAAGGCUUACCAAAAACUUAAGAAAGCUU
This 751-nucleotide long non-coding RNA is filed under the name Nicotiana tabacum (common tobacco). RNAcentral describes it as "long non-coding RNA (NTAB_LNC019161)". Lineage: Eukaryota; Viridiplantae; Streptophyta; Magnoliopsida; Solanales; Solanaceae. The record is from RNAcentral.